AGAGUUUGAUCCUGGCUCAGGACGAACGCUGGCGGCGUGCUUAACACAUGCAAGUCGAGCGGUAAGGCCCUUUGGGGUACACGAGCGGCGAACGGGUGAGUAACACGUGGGUGACCUACCCUCUACUCUGGGAUAAGCCUGGGAAACUGGGUCUAAUACCGGAUAUGACACAGUCUCGCAUGGGGUUGUGUGGAAAGUUUUUUCGGUGGGGGAUGGGCCCGCGGCCUAUCAGUUUGUUGGUGGGGUGAUGGCCUACCAAGGCGACGACGGGUAGCCGGCCUGAGAGGGCGACCGGCCACACUGGGACUGAGACACGGCCCAGACUCCUACGGGAGGCAGCAGUGGGGAAUAUUGCGCAAUGGGCGGAAGCCUGACGCAGCGACGCCGCGUGGGGGAUGACGGCCUUCGGGUUGUAAACCUCUUUCGGCCCCGACGAAGCGUGAGUGACGGUAGGGGUAGAAGAAGCACCGGCCAACUACGUGCCAGCAGCCGCGGUAAUACGUAGGGUGCGAGCGUUGUCCGGAAUUAUUGGGCGUAAAGAGCUCGUAGGCGGUCUGUCGCGUCGAUCGUGAAAACUUGGGGCUUAACCCUGAGCUUGCGGUCGAUACGGGCAUGACUGGAGUUCGGCAGGGGAGACUGGAAUUCCUGGUGUAGCGGUGAAAUGCGCAGAUAUCAGGAGGAACACCGGUGGCGAAGGCGGGUCUCUGGGCCGAUACUGACGCUGAGGAGCGAAAGCGUGGGGAGCGAACAGGAUUAGAUACCCUGGUAGUCCACGCCGUAAACGGUGGGCGCUAGGUGUGGGGGCCAUUCCACGGUCUCUGUGCCGUAGCUAACGCAUUAAGCGCCCCGCCUGGGGAGUACGGCCGCAAGGCUAAAACUCAAAGGAAUUGACGG
RNAcentral lists this ribosomal RNA (894 nucleotides) under uncultured bacterium. RNAcentral's name for it is "bacterial SSU rRNA". It matches the Rfam family "Bacterial small subunit ribosomal RNA", at positions 8 to 916 of the family's 1533-position model. The record is from RNAcentral.